Molecule: ribosomal RNA, 274 nt
Filed under: uncultured bacterium
Lineage: Bacteria
Description: partial 16S ribosomal RNA
Rfam family: Bacterial small subunit ribosomal RNA
Source: RNAcentral
AUACGGAGGGUGCAAGCGUUGUUCGGAAUCACUGGGCGUAAAGCGCGCGUAGGCGGUUCGGCAAGUCGGAUGUGAAAGCCCUGGGCUCAACCCAGGAAGUGCAUCCGAAACUGCCGGACUUGAGGUCGGGAGAGGGAAGUGGAAUUUCUGGUGUAGAGGUGAAAUUCGUAGAUAUCAGAAGGAACACCGGUGGCGAAGGCGGCUUCCUGGACCGAUUCUGACGCUGAGGCGCGAAAGCAUAGGUAGCAAAUAGGAUUAGAUACCCUAGUAGUCC